This 223-nucleotide ribosomal RNA is filed under the name uncultured bacterium. RNAcentral's name for it is "partial 16S ribosomal RNA". It matches the Rfam family "Bacterial small subunit ribosomal RNA", at positions 328 to 539 of the family's 1533-position model. The record is from RNAcentral.
ACGCUCGACACCUACGGGGGACAGCAGUAGGGAAUCUUCCACAAUGGGCGCAAGCCUGAUGGAGCAACACCGCGUGAGUGAAGAAGGGUUUCGGCUCGUAAAGCUCUGUUGUUGGAGAAGAACGUGCGUGAGAGUAACUGUUCACGCAGUGACGGUAUCCAACCAGAAAGUCACGGCUAACUACGUGCCUGCAGCCGCGGUAAUCUGAGCGGGCUGGCAAGGC